AGUGAACGCUGGCGGUAGGCCUAACACAUGCAAGUCGAACGGCAGCACAGUAAGAGCUUGCUCUUACGGGUGGCGAGUGGCGGACGGGUGAGGAAUACAUCGGGAUCUACUUUUUCGUGGGGGAUAACGUAGGGAAACUUACGCUAAUACCGCAUACGACCUACGGGUGAAAGCAGGGGAUCUUCGGACCUUGCGCGAUUGAAUGAGCCGAUGUCGGAUUAGCUAGUUGGCGGGGUAAAGGCCCACCAAGGCGACGAUCCGUAGCUGGUCUGAGAGGAUGAUCAGCCACACUGGAACUGAGACACGGUCCAGACUCCUACGGGAGGCAGCAGUGGGGAAUAUUGGACAAUGGGCGCAAGCCUGAUCCAGCCAUACCGCGUGGGUGAAGAAGGCCUUCGGGUUGUAAAGCCCUUUUGUUGGGAAAGAAAAGCAGCAGGUUAAUACCCCGCUGUUCUGACGGUACCCAAAGAAUAAGCACCGGCUAACUUCG
Molecule: ribosomal RNA, 490 nt
Filed under: uncultured bacterium
Lineage: Bacteria
Description: partial 16S ribosomal RNA
Rfam family: Bacterial small subunit ribosomal RNA
Source: RNAcentral